UACAGAGGGGGCAAGCGUUGUUCGGAAUUACUGGGCGUAAAGGGCGCGUAGGCGGCCUUCUAAGCCGAACGUGAAAUCCCCGGGCUCAACCCGGGAACUGCGUCCGAUACUGGAAGGCUUGAAUCCGGGAGAGGGAUGCGGAAUUCCAGGUGUAGCGGUGAAAUGCGUAGAUAUCUGGAGGAACACCGGUGGCGAAGGCGGCAUCCUGGACCGGCAUUGACGCUGAGGCGCGAAAGCCAGGGGAGCAAACGGG
Molecule: ribosomal RNA, 253 nt
Filed under: uncultured bacterium
Lineage: Bacteria
Description: partial 16S ribosomal RNA
Rfam family: Bacterial small subunit ribosomal RNA
Source: RNAcentral